This 472-nucleotide ribosomal RNA is filed under the name Streptococcus mitis. RNAcentral describes it as "bacterial SSU rRNA". It matches the Rfam family "Bacterial small subunit ribosomal RNA", at positions 28 to 484 of the family's 1533-position model. Lineage: Bacteria; Bacillati; Bacillota; Bacilli; Lactobacillales; Streptococcaceae. The record is from RNAcentral.
GACGAACGCUGGCGGCGUGCCUAAUACAUGCAAGUAGAACGCUGAAGGAGGAGCUUGCUUCUCUGGAUGAGUUGCGAACGGGUGAGUAACGCGUAGGUAACCUGCCUGGUAGCGGGGGAUAACUAUUGGAAACGAUAGCUAAUACCGCAUAACAGUAGAUGUCGCAUGACAUUUGCUUAAAAGGUGCAAUUGCAUCACUACCAGAUGGACCUGCGUUGUAUUAGCUAGUUGGUGAGGUAACGGCUCACCAAGGCGACGAUACAUAGCCGACCUGAGAGGGUGAUCGGCCACACUGGGACUGAGACACGGCCCAGACUCCUACGGGAGGCAGCAGUAGGGAAUCUUCGGCAAUGGACGGAAGUCUGACCGAGCAACGCCGCGUGAGUGAAGAAGGUUUUCGGAUCGUAAAGCUCUGUUGUAAGAGAAGAACGGGUGUGAGAGUGGAAAGUUCACACUGUGACGGUAUCUUACC